This 768-nucleotide small RNA is filed under the name Pongo abelii (Sumatran orangutan). Its description in RNAcentral is "retained intron". Lineage: Eukaryota; Metazoa; Chordata; Mammalia; Primates; Hominidae. The record is from RNAcentral.
GGACGAGCAGCUAUUCAGGUGGUGAUAGGGAAGCACAAAACAAGGAGAGGGGCUCUGGACUCUGGGCAUCAGGCAGCCAGGGCAGGAGGCUGGGGCCUCCAGGAGCUGUUUCAGUCUAGAUACUGGGGAUGUUGACCAGUGCUUCAGGGCUGUGGGCCUCAACACCUCCCCACUCUGCCCACCCUCAGGUGUGAGCUGUCAGUGGAGAAGUCCACAGUGCUGCAGUCUGAGCUGGAAUCCUGUAAGGAGCUGCAGGAGCUGGAGCCUGAGAAUAAAUGGUGCCUGCUUACCAUCAUCCUGCUGAUGCGGGCACUGGACCCCCUGCUGUAUGAGAAGGAGACUCUGCAGUACUUCCAGACCCUCAAGGCCGUGGACCCCAUGCGGGCAGCGUAUCUGGAUGACCUGCGCAGCAAGUUCUUGCUGGAGAAUAGCGUGCUCAAGAUGGAGUAUGCCGAGGUGCGUGUGCUGCACCUGGCUCACAAGGAUCUGACAGUGCUCUGCCAUCUGGAACAGCUGCUCUUGGUCACCCAUCUUGACCUGUCACACAAUCGUCUCCGAACCCUGCCACCUGCACUGGCUGCCCUGCGCUGCCUUGAGGUAAAGUACCCAUGUCUCCAUCCCUGUCACGGGUGGUUCUUUUCCUCUUCCUCUACCUCAGAAGUUUGCCCAUCCUACAAGGAGAUGUGCAGGACCUUCCACCCCGAACAGGUAACUACGUGCCUUCCACCUCCAUCACGCAGCCUGACCCUGUGAGCCCCUCUGUGCUCU